Molecule: ribosomal RNA, 495 nt
Filed under: uncultured bacterium
Lineage: Bacteria
Description: partial 16S ribosomal RNA
Rfam family: Bacterial small subunit ribosomal RNA
Source: RNAcentral
GACGAACGCUGGCGGCGUGCCUAAUACAUGCAAGUAGAACGCUGAAGGAGGAGCUUGCUUCUCUGGAUGAGUUGCGAACGGGUGAGUAACGCGUAGGUAACCUGCCUGGUAGCGGGGGAUAACUAUUGGAAACGAUAGCUAAUACCGCAUAAGAGUGGAUGUUGCAUGACAUUUGCUUAAAAGGUGCAAUUGCAUCACUACCAGAUGGACCUGCGUUGUAUUAGCUAGUUGGUGGGGUAACGGCUCACCAAGGCGACGAUACAUAGCCGACCUGAGAGGGUGAUCGGCCACACUGGGACUGAGACACGGCCCAGACUCCUACGGGAGGCAGCAGUAGGGAAUCUUCGGCAAUGGACGGAAGUCUGACCGAGCAACGCCGCGUGAGUGAAGAAGGUUUUCGGAUCGUAAAGCUCUGUUGUAAGAGAAGAACGAGUGUGAGAGUGGAAAGUUCACACUGUGACGGUAGCUUACCAGAAAGGGACGGCUAACUACGUG